AGCAGCCGCGGUAAUUCCAGCUCCAAUAGCGUAUAUUAAAGUUGUUGCAGUUAAAAAGCUCGUAGUUGAAUUUCGGAAUCAAUAUAUCGGUCGUGCCUCUGGUACGCACUUAUUUAUUGAUUUCUCACUUCUGACGAAUCAUAAUGUCAUUAGUUUGGUGUUAUGAGGAAUCAGGACUGUUACUUUGAAAAAUUAGAGUGUUUAAAGCAGGCUCGCGCUUGAAUACAUUAGCAUGGAAUAAUGAAAUAGGAUGUUUGAUCUUAUUUUGUUGGUUUCUAGGAUCGACGUAAUGAUUAAUAGGGAUAGUUGGGGGCAUUAGUAUUAAAUUGUCAGAGGUGAAAUUCUUGGAUUUAUUGAAGACUAACUACUGCGAAAGCAUUUGCCAAGGAUGUUUUCAUUAAUCAAGAACGAAAGUUAGGGGAUCGAAGACGAUCAGAUACCGUCGUAGUC
Molecule: ribosomal RNA, 450 nt
Filed under: uncultured Glomeromycotina
Lineage: Eukaryota; Fungi; Glomeromycota
Description: SSU rRNA
Rfam family: Eukaryotic small subunit ribosomal RNA
Source: RNAcentral